This 253-nucleotide ribosomal RNA is filed under the name uncultured bacterium. RNAcentral describes it as "partial 16S ribosomal RNA". It matches the Rfam family "Bacterial small subunit ribosomal RNA", at positions 524 to 776 of the family's 1533-position model. The record is from RNAcentral.
UACGGAGGGUGCAAGCGCUGUUCGGAAUCACUGGGCGUAAAGCGCGUGUAGGCGGCCUCUUAAGUCUGGUGUGAAAGCCCGGGGCUCACCCCCGGAAGGGCACUGGAUACUGGGAGGCUAGAGUACCGGAGAGGAGGGUGGAAUUCCUGGUGUAGCGGUGAAAUGCGUAGAUAUUAGGAGGAACACCGGUGGCGAAGGCGGCCCUCUGGACGGGUACUGACGCCGAUACGAGAAAGCGUGGGGAGCAAACAGG